ACACCUAGGCUAUUUGGUCAGCCUGCCGCCCCUAGGCUACAAACCUGAACUGCAUGUUACCGCACUGAAUGUUGUAAGCAGUUGUAACACAAUGAUAUUUAUGUGGCAACCGGACAUAAAGCAUUCUGAGGAAAAGCAAAAUUAAAACUCCCAGAAAUCAAACAGAAAGUAAAAUCUUUAAGAAAAGGACUAAAAUUAACAAGAAAUACAGAAUUUAAAACUUUGGUCGCAAUGAAGAGAUGGCGAUAUGACAGAACUCUCAGGCUAACAAUGUAAACCUUCACUUUCAAUUUCUCAUACUUUUUGUCUCCAGCUGAACAAAAUAAAAGCCCAGGAGGAA
Molecule: long non-coding RNA, 340 nt
Organism: Pan troglodytes (chimpanzee)
Lineage: Eukaryota; Metazoa; Chordata; Mammalia; Primates; Hominidae
Exons: 2
Source: RefSeq, a predicted model, not a curated record